This 1491-nucleotide long non-coding RNA is filed under the name Macaca fascicularis (crab-eating macaque). Its description in RNAcentral is "lncRNA (ENSMFAG00000061405.1)". Lineage: Eukaryota; Metazoa; Chordata; Mammalia; Primates; Cercopithecidae. The record is from RNAcentral.
ACAUGACGAUGGCCUGUUUACUUUGCUCUGGAGUGAGGCUCUCGCGCGGAUUCUGCCUUCCCAGACAGUUCAAGAACCAACCAACCAGCUGGGCCUGGCGACUAGAAAGCAUAGUCAGUUGCCCUGGAAUAGGUUGAUUGCACCCCAAAAGUGCUUUUCCGCCUCUCCCCGUCACAGGUGUUUGCAGCUCCAUUUUCCCUCUGAGUCGGCUUGUCCGUUACUAGGUUUGCGUUCCUUGAUGGGGUCUGUUAUUCCAAGGUCUUCGGCAGUGGCGCUAUCCACCCAGUUUGGCUGCGGGGCUGAGAAGGUGCCUUGCAUUUUGUAUUGUGUGUCCUUGGCGGGUCUGUGCCUCCCUUCUGUCUGUUUUCCCUCAGGACCACCCACCGCCCCUUGCUUGUAUCUACAACAGCUAUAAGGAAGAAUAUAUAGAUUAAUCGCCUUGCUGCAGGGUGCCAGUUACCCAGUGGCUCUGGCAGACCCAGUCAAUGGAUCCUUUAGUGUGGCCUUCAUCAGUAGAGCUGCCACUGCUAGCACCCAAAAGGUAGCACUAAUAUGCAUGUGUCACCUGAAAAUUACAAUGUAAACAGUGGGGCAACACAUGUAUAGGAAGGUAAAUUUUAAUUAAAAGUCUGUUCUCCAACUUAGCCUGCCUUUAAAGAUACAGAAAUGCCAAGCUGUCAGGCUGCCGGUCAGGUUAAGAGGGUUCUCUCGUGCACUGUGGACCAAGCUGGAAGAACUAGGGCUUCAUUGAAAUCAGAUGCCUUUGAUUAAUUUUCUACCAAAUGCAUCCCAUAUGGGGAAGAUGUGCCCUCAAGUGGUUAGCGGAGCCAGCAGGAGCCAAAGCUUCCUGAGAAGUGCUGGGUCUUCUUUCCUGCAGUGUCAGGGGUGCAGACAGUACAGAGGGAGGGUAUGAGAGUCGAGGCAUGUGCCAAAAAGGAGCAGGUGGGAAAAAGGAGCCCGUGGCUCAGCAGCAAAUUGUGGAUGCCGAGUGGACGUGGCUUUUGAGGCCCUAUGCCCAGUGGUCAUCCUGAAUUUGCUGCACUGCCUGGGGAGGGGGUGGAUGGAGGAGGGAAACUGGCCACCUCCAGAGGCAACCCUGUUGGAUAAAACUCACUGUUAGAACCAUCAGAAGUCCAUUUUCCUAUGGAAAUCUACAGGGAAGGGGUAGAGAAGAGCUGCAGAGUCUAUUAAAUAUGUGCUUGCUGCCUGGUCUCUGGUACAGUCUGGAAAUCAGAUUUGUACAGUGGAAAUUCAUUCAUGCAACAAAUAGUUAUUGAGUGCCUACAAUAUGCUGGUGGUACUAGGGACUGGGGAUACAGCGGUGGGUGAGCUAAAGGCACAGUGCCCUCACCGAGACUUGUAUGCCACUGGAGAACAUGGAUUAAACAAGGCAUUAUGUGAUCAGCGUAUCAGUGCCAUACGGGCAGUGGGCCAAGGUGCUGAUGGGUGCACACCGGGGACACCUAGUUCUUAAGUGACGUUUUAGGCUCG